UCUUGUCACAACCCAGACUCUGAUUCAGGAGGUCUGGGGUGGCGCCUGAGAUUCUGCAUUUCUAACAAGCUC
Molecule: microRNA precursor, 72 nt
Filed under: Ovis aries (sheep)
Lineage: Eukaryota; Metazoa; Chordata; Mammalia; Artiodactyla; Bovidae
Description: miRNA (ENSOARG00000024404.1)
Source: RNAcentral